CUUGGAUCAACUGGGAUCAGAUGACCCAAGCAACAGAGAUUUGAGCUGCUCCGACAUGCUGAAGGCUGAACUUUGCUUGCUUCCUCAUGCUGCCACGAUGGACGCACCUAUGCACCAUAGGCGGCAAAUAACCCGCUCGUGCAGUCUUGGGGACUCACUGACUAGGAGCGCCACUUUCCACGGUUUAACCCAGACCACAGACCAACCCAGCAAAGAGGAGGGGCGGACUCGACAGCGACGCAUAACUGUCGCAUCAUAUAUGCCUGAUUCUAAGGAUCAGAAUGGAAACUUCCCCGAGAAGGACAGAAAAGGGCAAGAGGCCAAAUCUCUCAAGGAGCUGAAUACAGAAGAAGUCUGCCAGUGGUUUACCAGUAUUGGACUGCAAAAAUGUCUCCCCUUCAUCAAAGAAGCGAAACUGUGUGGAGCAGACAUAGCCUCGGUGGAUGUGAGCACUCUGGACAUCCUCCAGAUCAGCACACUGGAAGACAGGGAGCAGCUGCUGUCAGCCAUCUAUAAUGAGCUUCACCCUCCGAGCACCACCGCUCAGAGAAUCGACUCUUUGCUCGAAUCCUUAGGGCCAAAUACCGUGGAGACAUUCACGUCCACUCUGGGGUCAAUGACCAAGUCCAAGUCUUCUCCUCAUGUGAGCUGCCUGAGUAUGAAUCGACGUUCCCUCAGAAACAGCAGCCAAAAGAAUACGGCACAGAGAAAUUCACAUCUAAUAGAAAUUACUAUUAAUGCAUCAGAGCGUAUAGUUCAUCUCAGAACGCCAAAGGAAACAACAGUUGGAAAAAUCAUGGAGUCGUGUGUUAAAAUGCUGGGAGUGACAGAAGAUAAGAGCCUGUUCACAAUGAAAGAAAAGCAAGGUUCACCUGAGGAGCUCUCACUAGAUCAGCAGAUCGGGACUUUACUGACAUCAUCAUCAUCAUCGGAGAACAGACAGCUGGAGUUGUACUUGUGUAAAACGGACAAACCAGCAGGUUCAGCCACCCAAAAUAGUGCAGAAGUAAACAGUUCCAGCGAAAAUGGCAGCAGCAACAACCAAAACAUCCAGCCACCUAAAGAAGAAAGAAUCAGGGAACUAAACCAACAGGUUGACUCGCUCCAGAAUGUCAUCCUUCAGGUCCAGGAGCUCCACCACGGCCUGGUUGCUUUUUGCUCCGAGUUAAAGAACAUGGAUGGAGAUGUGAAGUUGGACAAACUUGGGUCUGCUGAGCUGAAGCAGAAGCUGGAUUUGGUUCACAGCCAACUGAACGACAAAAAGCAGAACCUGCAGACCCUCAGAGACAACAUUAACAACUUUACUGCUCACAAGAAGAAACAGCUGGAGGUUCGUCUCUUGGAAAAGAUGAAGCUGAACUGCCAAGUGUUCAAGGAGGAAAUUUCCAUCGUACAUCUCAACCGACAGGCGGCUCACCUUCAAAACGUCUUACAAGAAAGCUAUGUUAAGGAGAAAGCUCAAAAAAAGACUUUGGCCAUUGGUAGCCUGAGCCAGCUGGUGUCACCACAGUCUCCAGCCAUGCUGCUGGUUGUACAGGAGAACCAGAGCCCUGAUGGCCAUUAUGGGUUCAUAUGUCGCUACAGGGAAGAAGGCGGACUAGUGGUAGUCAAGGUGGACAAUUCUCACCUCUGCGUGGAUGACAGAUUGGUGGAGGUGAACGGUGUACCGGUUGUCAACUCCACACAGGAAGAGCUGACUGACCUCCUGCUGCAGGGACCCAGUGCUCAAAUUGUUGUCCUUCGCCAACCCCCGCCCAGCCUCACCUCCCCUCUGUUCCUGCAGCAUACGGUCAGCCCUGAUCCCGUGCAAACAGUCUGCCCAGAGGGAGAUGCAGUCACCAUGGAAACCCCUCCACAGCGUAAGGUGAUGGCCAUCUGAUGAUUACAAGGAAGAGAAAAAAAAGACUGAGAGAAUUGCGAUGAGAAAAGUCUGCAGUCUUAUAGUUUUUUACCUCCAUAUGUGAACAUGCUUAUUGUACUGGUGAAAUGUUUCUCAUUGAUUGUUGACAAUCGCCUUUUAGUUAGAAAUGUCAUGACUGUGUUUUUCACCAUAGGUACAUAACUUUAUUCUUGGUAGUCAGUAAUGUAUAACAGAUAUUGUUUCAAUGUUUGCACAGAGCAAUGCCUUUAAAAAACAAAUAACUCAAGCAAAGACUACAUUCAUUUUUUUUCUAUUUAGAGUUCUCCUUGUUUUAUAUUAUCUAUUUUUUUUUUUUUUUGCCAUGGGGGAACAUGGAAAGUACAAAGCCUCACAAAGUUUUGCUCAACUGGAUAUGUGAUAAGCAUUUCCUUCUUUUUAAGCAUCCAGC
Molecule: long non-coding RNA, 2309 nt
Organism: Amphiprion ocellaris (clown anemonefish)
Lineage: Eukaryota; Metazoa; Chordata; Actinopteri; Pomacentridae
Source: Ensembl